UGAAUUUCAUUUCUUUUUAUUCAUGAUCUAAUUUCUAUUUUGAAGAUUGUCAUCUUUUCCAAACGAAAAUGAAAAAAAAAACUAUCCAUAAGAAGAUACGAUUUAGUAACGAAACUACGUGAUUAUCUCCGGAUGAAGAGACACCCGAAAUGUUCAAUGGAAAUAAAAUAUAUUCAUAAGAGUUACCCAUUCACAAUGCUUUGAACCAUAUUCGAUUGUCGUUGUUUUUCAUCAUUAUUCGUAUCGACACUGGCAUCGACACAAACGUUGGCACAUCUAUAUACUCCAAUUACUAAUGGUCACAUGAAAAUAAAAACUGGAUUGGCUCUCGCGAAGAGGAAUAUAACUCAAAUUGACCGGUGUAGAAUCAAAAAAAAAAAAAUAGAGUUAUUAGUUCCACCAAGAACACUCGUGUUUAACUUGUUUCUAAUUAUUUUUCUGAUUUUUUGGUUCUUUAUAAAAUGUGUUUCUCUUUUUUUUUUCUCCAUUCAAAUAUAUUGACCUUUUUGAUUCAAUCAUUAAUUGACAAUAAUUUCGGAAACAUUUUGUUAAAAUCUAUUUAUUUAUAAAAAUGUUGGCAAAAU
Long non-coding RNA from Sitodiplosis mosellana (orange wheat blossom midge), 584 nucleotides. RefSeq lists it as uncharacterized. NCBI's taxonomy places the organism in Eukaryota, Metazoa, Arthropoda, Insecta, Diptera, Cecidomyiidae. The transcript is spliced from 3 exons. The record is from RefSeq and is a predicted model, not a curated record.